RNAcentral lists this ribosomal RNA (275 nucleotides) under uncultured Rhizobium sp. RNAcentral's name for it is "partial 16S ribosomal RNA". It matches the Rfam family "Bacterial small subunit ribosomal RNA", at positions 338 to 630 of the family's 1533-position model. Lineage: Bacteria; Pseudomonadati; Pseudomonadota; Alphaproteobacteria; Hyphomicrobiales; Rhizobiaceae. The record is from RNAcentral.
CCUACGGGAGGCUGCAGUGGGGAAUAUUGGACAAUGGGCGCAAGCCUGAUCCAGCCAUGCCGCGUGAGUGAUGAAGGCCUUAGGGUUGUAAAGCUCUUUCACCGGAGAAGAUAAUGACGGUAUCCGGAGAAGAAGCCCCGGCUAACUUCGUGCCAGCAGCCGCGGUAAUACGAAGGGGGCUAGCGUUGUUCGGAUUUACUGGGCGUAAAGCGCACGUAGGCGGAUCGAUCAGUCAGGGGUGAAAUCCCAGAGCUCAACUCUGGAACUGCCUUUGA